Molecule: non-coding RNA, 187 nt
Organism: Electrophorus electricus (electric eel)
Lineage: Eukaryota; Metazoa; Chordata; Actinopteri; Gymnotiformes; Gymnotidae
Source: RefSeq, a predicted model, not a curated record
GUGAGCUCUCGCUGUGCGAACACAGUCCAGGGGAAUUGAUGUAGGGAGUGAGCGUUCAGUAACAUAGUUCAUAUUUGCACUGUGCUGUGAAAGUGACUGUCUACAAAUAAGCAUGUUUUUCUCUGGCACCCAAUGUUCAAAGCUUUAACUUCUCCAGCGAUCAUAAAUCAGUCUGAUCUGGGCUCCU